RNAcentral lists this small RNA (119 nucleotides) under Marmota monax (woodchuck). Lineage: Eukaryota; Metazoa; Chordata; Mammalia; Rodentia; Sciuridae. The record is from RNAcentral.
GCCAGGCAUGGUGGUGCACCCCUGUAAUCCCAGCAGCUCAGGAGGCUGAGGCAGGAGGAUUGAGAGUUCAAAGCCAGCCUCAGCAAAGCGACUCUAUUCAUUUAGAGACCCUGUCUCUA